CCGUGCGCCCGGUCGGGGCCCGGCAACCGGGCGCCGGACAGGUGUCUGGCGUUCCCUUGUGAUCCAUGUUGCUCAACUGGAGGAUAUGGCAAUGAGGA
RNAcentral lists this small RNA (98 nucleotides) under Rugositalea oryzae. RNAcentral's name for it is "Rhodoplanes sp. Z2-YC6860 Repression of heat shock gene expression (ROSE) element". It matches the Rfam family "Repression of heat shock gene expression (ROSE) element". From Rfam's summary of the family: This family represents a 5' UTR cis-regulatory element found in heat shock mRNAs and is known as the ROSE (repression of heat shock gene expression) element. The ROSE element is a negative regulator of heat shock gene expression. The secondary structure is thought to be regulated by temperature. Lineage: Bacteria; Pseudomonadati; Pseudomonadota; Alphaproteobacteria; Hyphomicrobiales; Nitrobacteraceae. The record is from Rfam by way of RNAcentral.